This 240-nucleotide ribosomal RNA is filed under the name Burkholderia contaminans. RNAcentral describes it as "partial 23S ribosomal RNA". It matches the Rfam family "Bacterial large subunit ribosomal RNA", at positions 504 to 747 of the family's 2925-position model. The record is from RNAcentral. Lineage: Bacteria; Pseudomonadati; Pseudomonadota; Betaproteobacteria; Burkholderiales; Burkholderiaceae.
UGAGGGAAAGGCGAAAAGAACCCCGGAAGGGGAGUGAAAUAGAUCCUGAAACCGUAUGCAUACAAACAGUAGGAGCCUCCUUGUGGGGUGACUGCGUACCUUUUGUAUAAUGGGUCAGCGACUUACAUUCAGUGGCAAGGUUAACCGAAUAGGGAAGCCGUAGCGAAAGCGAGUCCGAAUAGGGCGAUUCAGUCGCUGGGUGUAGACCCGAAACCAGAUGAUCUAUCCAUGGCCAGGUUG